GGAGGAGUGGCUGAGUGGUCGAAAGCGGCGGUCUUGAAAACCGUUGUACCGCAAGGUACCGUGGGUUCGAAUCCUACCUACUCCG
This 85-nucleotide transfer RNA is filed under the name Candidatus Zixiibacteriota bacterium. RNAcentral's name for it is "candidate division Zixibacteria bacterium tRNA-Ser". It matches the Rfam family "tRNA". From Rfam's summary of the family: Transfer RNA (tRNA) molecules are approximately 80 nucleotides in length. The record is from RNAcentral. Lineage: Bacteria; Pseudomonadati; Candidatus Zixiibacteriota.